Molecule: unclassified non-coding RNA, 345 nt
Filed under: soil metagenome
Description: partial contains 5.8S ribosomal RNA, internal transcribed spacer 2, and large subunit ribosomal RNA
Rfam family: 5.8S ribosomal RNA (bases 1-120)
Source: RNAcentral
GAUGAAGAACGCAGCGAAAUGCGAUACGUAAUGCGAAUUGCAGAAUUCAGUGAAUCAUCGAGUCUUUGAACGCACAUUGCGCCCCCUGGUAUUCCGGGGGGCAUGCCUGUCCGAGCGUCAUUGCUGCCCUCAAGCACGGCUUGUGUGUUGGGCCUCCGUCCUCCUCCCGGGGGACGGGCCCGAAAGGCAGCGGCGGCACCGCGUCCGGUCCUCGAGCGUAUGGGGCUUCGUCACCCGCUCUUGUAGGCCCGGCCGGCGCUUGCCGACACAUCAAUCUUUUUUCCAGGUUGACCUCGGAUCAGGUAGGGAUACCCGCUGAACUUAAGCAUAUCAAUAAGCGGAGGA